RNAcentral lists this unclassified non-coding RNA (123 nucleotides) under fungal sp. RNAcentral describes it as "partial internal transcribed spacer region". The record is from RNAcentral. Lineage: Eukaryota; Fungi.
AGCACAGCGUCGCCCGUGUUCCCCUGCGAGCACCAGAUGUUGGUGGUUACGCAAUGUAGUUUGCGGCGCUCCGCCAGCUCCAUGGCGCGGCGUAGCAGCGUGCGGUCUUUCAAUUCCAUGUCG